CUUGUCUUUGCUCCCUUCACAGACAUCCUUACUUUCUUCAAAUCCUGAUCCCUGUAUGGAAGUCGGAUGGAGGUUCAGCUCGCGUCCCGCCGUGGAAAUCGAUUCUAGAAUGCCACGGCUCGUGGUCGCGCGCACUGGAAGAAUCAGCCUUCAAGCCGCGCUGGUCCGCUGCGCCUCGGCUGGGAAAGGGAAGCUGGCAGGAGGAAAGAGACGAAGCUGCUGGCUGCGAGAAAGAGGAACAUUGGACUCUGAUGAUCUGCGACGUGAUCCAUGUUUGAGGAUGACUACUGCCUAGCAAGAUGGAAAUACUGCGUGGCUGAGGAAGUGUUACAUCUAAACAGAGACACAAGCAGAGGUCAUGGAGGGUAGAGCUAAAAGAAAAAUGGACCUGUCCAGGAUGUGUCCUGCUUCUCGCCCAUUGACCGCUGGAGACCAGUACACCUCGCACUCCCACUAGUCAUAAGCAUGUAAGACGGAUGGAUUGAUAUAUUGUGUAUAUCAACCUGA
Gambusia affinis (western mosquitofish) is the source of this 507-nucleotide long non-coding RNA. RefSeq lists it as uncharacterized. The transcript is spliced from 4 exons. Lineage: Eukaryota; Metazoa; Chordata; Actinopteri; Cyprinodontiformes; Poeciliidae. The record is from RefSeq and is a predicted model, not a curated record.